RNAcentral lists this ribosomal RNA (301 nucleotides) under uncultured bacterium. Its description in RNAcentral is "partial 16S ribosomal RNA". It matches the Rfam family "Bacterial small subunit ribosomal RNA", at positions 509 to 809 of the family's 1533-position model. The record is from RNAcentral.
CAGCCGCCGCGGUAAUACGUAGGGUGCAAGCGUUAAUCGGAAUUACUUGGCGUAAAGCGUGCGCAGGCGGUUAUAUAAGACAGAUGUGAAAUCCCCGGGCUCAACCUGGGAACUGCAUUUGUGACUGUAUAGCUAGAGUACGGCAGAGGGGGAUGGAAUUCCGCGUGUAGCAGUGAAAUGCGUAGAUAUGCGGAGGAACACCGAUGGCGAAGGCAAUCCCCUGGGCCUGUACUGACGCUCAUUCACGAAAGCGUGGGGAGCAAACAGGAUUAGAUACCCCAGUAGUCCCUGUCUCUUAUAA